CAAAUUCUGGACAGGUUCCAGCAGGUGCCGCAGGGGAUCAUCCUGCAGACAAAGCAGCAGACUCCCACCAGCCAGGCCUCCCCAGCGCUGAGCCAGUUCAGCAGCCAGUCCUCCUCCGUCCUGGUCAGCAGCCAGGGGCAGCCGGUGACGGUGACGGCGACGCCGACCCCCGCGCACAGCCACGCGCCCACCGCCGGGCCGCCCUCCAGUGCAGGUCUGUGCC
This 223-nucleotide long non-coding RNA is filed under the name Gallus gallus (chicken). Lineage: Eukaryota; Metazoa; Chordata; Aves; Galliformes; Phasianidae. The record is from RNAcentral.